GCCCGCUUGGCUCAUCGGUAGAGCGCCUCACUAGUAAUGAGGAGGUAAUUGGUUCGACUCCAGUAGUGGGCA
Molecule: transfer RNA, 72 nt
Organism: Microdochium bolleyi
Lineage: Eukaryota; Fungi; Ascomycota; Sordariomycetes; Xylariales; Microdochiaceae
Rfam family: tRNA
About the family: Transfer RNA (tRNA) molecules are approximately 80 nucleotides in length. Their secondary structure includes four short double-helical elements and three loops (D, anti-codon, and T loops).
Source: Rfam